GUGGUUUUAGUAGGGACUCUGCAGCGUAGGUGUGUGAGCUCACGGUGUGAAGUGUUAAGAUGGGCCGACUCGCCACCGCACUUGUAUCUGUUUCAGCCUCAGAGAUGGAGAGGCCUGUCCUGAGAACAGUGUCACUUCUUGUAACACAAAAGGCGACCCAUGUAUUUACCUUCAUCUUCAUUCAUUCUCCGUUUUCUCUGUGGACUGUGAUUUACUGUGCCCUAACAGUGAAAUCUAGAAAACGUGUCGCUUGCAUGAAUUUUAUUUCCAUUGUCUGCAUCAGUUGUAUGGCAUUCCCUCUCCCUGCCUUUUUUCCAAGUCUGGCCGGACACUG
This is a long non-coding RNA of Pygocentrus nattereri (red-bellied piranha), 334 nucleotides long. RefSeq lists it as uncharacterized. The record is from RefSeq and is a predicted model, not a curated record. NCBI's taxonomy places the organism in Eukaryota, Metazoa, Chordata, Actinopteri, Characiformes, Serrasalmidae. The transcript is spliced from 3 exons.